Molecule: ribosomal RNA, 374 nt
Filed under: uncultured organism
Description: partial 16S ribosomal RNA
Rfam family: Bacterial small subunit ribosomal RNA
Source: RNAcentral
GUAGGUGGCAAGCGUUGUCCGGAAUUAUUGGGCGUAAAGCGCGCGCAGGUGGGUUCUUUAAGUCUGAUGUGAAAGCCCCCGGGCUCAACCGGGGAGGGUCAUUGGAAACUGGGGAACUUGAGUGCAGGAGAGGAAAGUGGAAUUCCACGUGUAGCGGUGAAAUGCGUAGAUAUGUGGAGGAACACCAGUGGCGAAGGCGACUUUCUGGCCUGUAACUGACACUGAGGCGCGAAAACGUGGGGAGCAAACAGGAUUAGAUACCCUGGUAGUCCACGCCGUAAACGAUGAGUGCUAAGUGUUGGGGGGUUUCCGCCCCUCAGUGCUGCAGCUAACGCAUUAAGCACUCCGCCUGGGGAGUACGGCCGCAAAGACUG